GACGAACGCUGGCGGCGUGCUUAACACAUGCAAGUCGUACGGUAAGGCCCUUUCGGGGGUACACGAGUGGCGCACGGGUGAGUAACACGUGAGUAACCUGCCCACAACUUUGGGAUAACGCUAGGAAACUGGUGCUAAUACUGGAUAUGUGCUCCUGCUGCAUGGUGGGGGUUGGAAAGUUCCGGCGGUUGUGGAUGGACUCGCGGCCUAUCAGCUUGUUGGUGGGGUAGUGGCCUACCAAGGCGGCGACGGGUAGCCGGCCUGAGAGGGUGACCGGCCACAUUGGGACUGAGAUACGGCCCAGACGCCUACGGGAGGCAGCAGGGGGGAAUAUUGCACAAUGGGCGCAAGCCUGAUGCAGCAACGCCGCGGGCGGGAUGACGGCCUUCGGGUUGUAAACCGCUUUCAGCAGGGACGAAGCUUUUUGUGACGGUACCUGCAGAAGAAGCACCGGCUAACUACGUG
Molecule: ribosomal RNA, 465 nt
Filed under: uncultured bacterium
Lineage: Bacteria
Description: partial 16S ribosomal RNA
Rfam family: Bacterial small subunit ribosomal RNA
Source: RNAcentral